Molecule: transfer RNA, 85 nt
Filed under: Felis catus (domestic cat)
Lineage: Eukaryota; Metazoa; Chordata; Mammalia; Carnivora; Felidae
Rfam family: tRNA
About the family: Transfer RNA (tRNA) molecules are approximately 80 nucleotides in length. Their secondary structure includes four short double-helical elements and three loops (D, anti-codon, and T loops).
Source: Rfam by way of RNAcentral
GCCUGUGUGGCUCUGUCGGUUAAGCGUCUGACUUCGGCUCAGGCCAUGAUCUCAUGGUUUGUGGGUUCAAGCCCCACAUCGGGCU